Molecule: ribosomal RNA, 451 nt
Filed under: uncultured bacterium
Lineage: Bacteria
Description: bacterial SSU rRNA
Rfam family: Bacterial small subunit ribosomal RNA
Source: RNAcentral
UACGGAAGGCAGCAGUGGGGAAUAUUGCACAAUGGGCGCAAGCCUGAUGCAGCCAUGCCGCGUGUAUGAAGAAGGCCUUCGGGUUGUAAAGUACUUUCAGUCGUGAGGAAGGUGUUAAGGUUAAUAACCUUAGCAAUUGACGUUAGCGACAGAAGAAGCACCGGCUAACUCCGUGCCAGCAGCCGCGGUAAUACGGAGGGUGCGAGCGUUAAUCGGAAUUACUGGGCGUAAAGGGCACGCAGGCGGUUAAUUAAGUUGGAUGUGAAUCCCCGGGCUUAACCUGGGAAUGGCAUUCAAGACUGGUUAGCUAGAGUCUUGUAGAGGGGGUAGAAUUCCAUGUGUAGCGGUGAAAUGCGUAGAGAUGUGGAGGAAUACCGGUGGCGAAGGCGGCCCCUGGGACAAGACUGACGCUCAUGUGCGAAAGCGUGGGGAGCAAACAGGAUUAGAUACC